UACGUAGGGAGCAAGCGUUAUCCGGAUUUACUGGGUGUAAAGGGCGCGCAGGCGGGCCGGCAAGUUGGAAGUGAAAUCUAUGGGCUUAACCCAUAAACUGCUUUCAAAACUGCUGGUCUUGAGUGAUGGAGAGGCAAGCGGAAUUCCGUGUGUAGCGGUGAAAUGCGUAGAUAUACGGAGGAACACCAGUGGCGAAGGCGGCUUGCUGGACAUUAACUGACGCUGAGGCGCGAAAGCGUGGGGAGCAAACAGG
RNAcentral lists this ribosomal RNA (253 nucleotides) under Agathobaculum desmolans. Its description in RNAcentral is "partial 16S ribosomal RNA". It matches the Rfam family "Bacterial small subunit ribosomal RNA", at positions 524 to 776 of the family's 1533-position model. The record is from RNAcentral. Lineage: Bacteria; Bacillati; Bacillota; Clostridia; Eubacteriales; Butyricicoccaceae.